Long non-coding RNA from Anneissia japonica, 649 nucleotides. RefSeq lists it as uncharacterized. NCBI's taxonomy places the organism in Eukaryota, Metazoa, Echinodermata, Crinoidea, Comatulida, Comatulidae. The transcript has 2 exons. The record is from RefSeq and is a predicted model, not a curated record.
GCAUGUCUUGUUUUCAAAGGAUGGUAAACGUCAGGAAUUGUGUGUUGCUGUUGGAGAUAGAGUAUUGUUACCAGAAUACGGUGGCACAAAGAUUUCUAUAGACGAUAAGGAAUAUCACCUAUUCAGAGAGGGCGACAUCCUUGCCAAGUACGAUUCAUGAAGACUGGUCUAGAAACGAAGAUGUAUUUAUACUUUCUAUAUUUCAAAAUAUAAUCAAGGUUAAAAAGACAUUCAGAACAUGGAAGAAAACAUGGGCGAGUGGUGAUGAUAACCUCUGUAAUGAAUCUAAAUCGACAGUUAUAUUAAGAAUACAUAGACCUAGAACAAAUAUGACUGAAAGUGCUGUAUUGUGAAAAAUAUAACUUUGGGACAGAUGUAUUUACAACUCUAUUCACAUUAAGGUUUUUUUGUGUGAUACUAUAUAGCCAUAUAUGGGCAUGAUGAUGCGAUAUUACAUCUGUUCCAUAUAUGGACAACACUGGUACUUGUCACAUAAAUGUUUUGUGUCUCAGAUCUUUAUGUAAAGGUGCUUCAGAUUUGGUUCCCAAAAAGUAAUGAUUGUUUAGCUUGUAACUACAAAGCAAUAACUUGAUUUCAUGAACAUAGUAACUACAAUUUUAAAUAAAAGGCUUAUACUGUAAAUCCAAAA